GGCAGCAUGGUCUUAGCUUGCUAAGGCCGAUGGCGACCGGCGCACGGGUGAGUAACACGUAUCCCACCUGCCGUCUACUCUUGGACAGCCUUCUGAAAGGAAGAUUAAUAUAAGAUGGCAUCAUGAGUUCACAUGUUCACAUGAUUAAAGGUAUUCCGGUAGACGAUGGGGAUGCGUUCCAUUAGAUAGUAGGCGGGGUAACGGCCCACCUAGUCUUCGAUGGAUAGGGGUUCUGAGAGGAAGGUCCCCCACAUUGGAACUGAGACACGGUCCAAACUCCUACGGGAGGCAGCAGUGAGGAAUAUUGGUCAAUGGGCGAGAGCCUGAACCAGCCAAGUAGCGUGAAGGAUGACUGCCCUAUGGGUUGUAAACUUCUUUUAUAAAGGAAUAAAGUCGGGUAUGGAUACCCGUUUGCAUGUACUUUAUGAAUAAGGAUCGGCUAACUCCGUGCCAGCAGCCGCGGUAAUACGGAGGAUCCGAGCGUUAUCCGGAUUUAUUGGGUUUAAAGGGAGCGUAGAUGGAUGUUUAAGUCAGUUGUGAAAGUUUGCGGCUCAACCGUAAAAUUGCAGUUGAUACUGGAUAUCUUGAGUGCAGUUGAGGCAGGCGGAAUUCGUGGUGUAGCGGUGAAAUGCUUAGAUAUCACGAAGAACUCCGAUUG
Molecule: ribosomal RNA, 658 nt
Filed under: uncultured Bacteroides sp.
Lineage: Bacteria; Pseudomonadati; Bacteroidota; Bacteroidia; Bacteroidales; Bacteroidaceae
Description: bacterial SSU rRNA
Rfam family: Bacterial small subunit ribosomal RNA
Source: RNAcentral